UUACGGCCACAUCACGCUGAAGACACCAGUUCUUGUACAAUCACUGAAGUUAAGCAACAUCGAUUUUGGUCAUUACCUUGCUGGGUAACCGCUUGGGAAUACCAGGUGCUGUAC
Acanthosepion pharaonis is the source of this 114-nucleotide non-coding RNA. Lineage: Eukaryota; Metazoa; Mollusca; Cephalopoda; Sepiida; Sepiidae. The record is from the annotation of a GenBank genome assembly.